This 476-nucleotide ribosomal RNA is filed under the name uncultured organism. RNAcentral's name for it is "partial 16S ribosomal RNA". It matches the Rfam family "Bacterial small subunit ribosomal RNA", at positions 333 to 800 of the family's 1533-position model. The record is from RNAcentral.
ACACUCCUACGGGAGGCAGCAGUGGGGAAUUUUGGACAAUGGGCGAAAGCCUGAUCCAGCAAUGCCGCGUGCAGGAUGAAGGCCUUCGGGUUGUAAACUGCUUUUGUACGGAACGAAAAAGCUCCUUCUAAUACAGGGGGCCCAUGACGGUACCGUAAGAAUAAGCACCGGCUAACUACGUGCCAGCAGCCGCGGUAAUACGUAGGGUGCGAGCGUUAAUCGGAAUUACUGGGCGUAAAGCGUGCGCAGGCGGUUAUGUAAGACAGAUGUGAAAUCCCCGGGCUCAACCUGGGAACUGCAUUUGUGACUGCAUGGCUAGAGUACGGUAGAGGGGGAUGGAAUUCCGCGUGUAGCAGUGAAAUGCGUAGAUAUGCGGAGGAACACCGAUGGCGAAGGCAAUCCCCUGGACCUGUACUGACGCUCAUGCACGAAAGCGUGGGGAGCAAACAGGAUUAGAAACCCUGGUAGUCCCAUGA